GCCGGGAUCCCGGCGGGGUUGGAGUUCCGCUUCCUGGCAGGCCUCAGGGGUUGCUCUGAGGACCGAUGACUCCGAAAGCGCUCAGAAGAACGCUUGGUCCAUUGGUGCUAUCCACUUCCUUCCAGACGUCCUAUGGGAGAAACAGCUUCCAGCAACACCCAUGGCAAUUAACACAGAGGAGUGACUCACAGGAACUUCUGGAAGAGGAGGAAAGAUCUUGCUGAUUUAACAGGAAAUGCCAACAUCAAUGAGAAAAUGAGGGACCCUCACACUAGCCUCACGAGAACCCGGUGGAUACGGCUCAUCCCAGAGGGUGCCUUGGAUCAGCACCUGGGGAAAAAAAGCAGCACCUGAAACUGGUCAGCCUGCAGAGGAGAGAAGACUGAGCAAGUUUUCUCCAAAUUUCACAACAGGCUUUACCAUGUGGAUGAUAUAACCAGUCGUCAGUACAUUUCUGUAAAGAAAUGUACUGGUUUAAGAAAACCAGCCAUGCCAGUGGGCCUGAGGAUUACCUUUCAUUUUCCUCUUUUCUCUCUGGAAAAUGAUAUUGCAAAAUUGUAAAAAGAGACAAUUAAAAAGUGGAUGAAAGGGUAUCACAGUGAGCCAUUAUGAAUAAAAAAUCUCAGUAUUUUCUGGA
Chlorocebus sabaeus (green monkey) is the source of this 637-nucleotide non-coding RNA. The record is from RefSeq and is a predicted model, not a curated record. Lineage: Eukaryota; Metazoa; Chordata; Mammalia; Primates; Cercopithecidae.